UUUCGUUCCGAAGGAGCCCCGCUGACAUCGCGCAGCUGCUUGACAUGCCCGGUGGAUUUUUUUAAUCCCAUUUCGGGCCAAAGAGCCUGUCUGCCAUGCGGCUCGGAGGCAGCGCAGCCUGCGGAAGGGCAAGAGACCUGCGUCUGUCUUGGGAAAGGUCAAGUGUUUCAGCCCCGUGACGCUCACUGCACAUGCCCUCCAGGUUACUGGAGGUCCUUCGGUGACGGAAGGCGCUGUGUCAGACAAGCAUACGAUACCUGUCGAGAUUCAGCCUCCCGAAAUCAGGAAGGACAGUGUUUAACCAAGACAGGAUGGGUUCGUUAUUGCUCUGAGAAGGUUUGUCCAGUCCCCACAGAUUAUCAAGGCUACGACAAGGUUCUUGGCCUCUGCAUUUGUCAGCCUGACAGUCUGGAGAGUGUGUGUAAUUCUCAGUGUAGAAGGCAACAAAGAGACACUCUGCAGGUCACCCGUACCGAGAAAAACACUCAGCUUUUUAUCACUUACAGAAACGGGAGCAAGACUGCUGUUUUCCUAGAAGAAUUAAGAGCAGUUCUACUCAGACCGUAUUUCUCUUUUAAAGACGUCUGCACCUCGGAACAAAGCAAAUACACCCAUCCAACCUACAUCGUGAAAAUGAGUGGUAAGGGAAAGAGUAACAAGAGCUUUAUUAUUCCCUGGGUGUUAGAUACACAACAAGCCUUUCCAUGAUAUUUAUAAAUACACACA
Molecule: long non-coding RNA, 726 nt
Filed under: Athene cunicularia (burrowing owl)
Lineage: Eukaryota; Metazoa; Chordata; Aves; Strigiformes; Strigidae
Description: lncRNA (ENSACUG00000003312.1)
Source: RNAcentral